Molecule: ribosomal RNA, 84 nt
Filed under: Bacillus cereus VD156
Lineage: Bacteria; Bacillati; Bacillota; Bacilli; Caryophanales; Bacillaceae
Source: RNAcentral
CCCAUACCGAACACGGAAGUUAAGCUCUCUAGCGCCGAUGGUAGUUGGGACCUUGUCCCUGUGAGAGUAGGACGUUGCCAGGCA